RNAcentral lists this ribosomal RNA (465 nucleotides) under uncultured Klebsiella sp. RNAcentral's name for it is "bacterial SSU rRNA". It matches the Rfam family "Bacterial small subunit ribosomal RNA", at positions 338 to 795 of the family's 1533-position model. The record is from RNAcentral. Lineage: Bacteria; Pseudomonadati; Pseudomonadota; Gammaproteobacteria; Enterobacterales; Enterobacteriaceae.
CCUACGGGUGGCUGCAGUGGGGAAUAUUGCACAAUGGGCGCAAGCCUGAUGCAGCCAUGCCGCGUGUGUGAAGAAGGCCUUCGGGUUGUAAAGCACUUUCAGCGGGGAGGAAGGCGGUGAGGUUAAUAACCUCAUCGGUUGACGUUACCCGCAGAAGAAGCACCGGCUAACUCCGUGCCAGCAGCCGCGGUAAUACGGAGGGUGCAAGCGUUAAUCGGAAUUACUGGGCGUAAAGCGCACGCAGGCGGUCUGUCAAGUCGGAUGUGAAAUCCCCGGGCUCAACCUGGGAACUGCAUUCGAAACUGGCAGGCUAGAGUCUUGUAGAGGGGGGUAGAAUUCCAGGUGUAGCGGUGAAAUGCGUAGAGAUCUGGAGGAAUACCGGUGGCGAAGGCGGCCCCCUGGACAAAGACUGACGCUCAGGUGCGAAAGCGUGGGGAGCAAACAGGAGUAGAUACCCCUGUAGUC